This is a long non-coding RNA of Oncorhynchus tshawytscha (Chinook salmon), 545 nucleotides long. Lineage: Eukaryota; Metazoa; Chordata; Actinopteri; Salmoniformes; Salmonidae. The record is from Ensembl.
GAGUUGUGCAUCUUCUUAUGGGUACUUUGGGCAGCAACGUUGUACUGGACUGUCAGUUUACCUAACUUUAGUCCCGUCUGUUGCUCUGCGCAAUUCGUGACAGCCUCCUUUGUCCUCUUUCAUAAAUUACUCGUUUUCAAACCCUGGUUUUCCGUUGGCUGGAUGUCCUUUUGAUGUGGUGGAGCAUUUUUUUGGGAUACACACAGGAAACUGUCGAGCGUGGAAAAACCCAGCAGCGUUGCAGUUCUUAACACUGAAAGCUGGCACCUACUACCAUAACCCUGUUCAAAGGCACUUUGAUCGUUUGUCUUGCCCCUCUGAAUGGCACACCUACACAAACCUGAUCAGUCUAUGUCAUGGAAAAGAGCAGGUGUUCCCUCAUGUCUUGUACACUCAGUGUGUAUGUCGCAUCAGGUUUUAAAGGGUUAAAACAGAAGAGGAACCCCUGCCUGCAAGGCAGAGUGGUGGAGUGGUGGAGUAGUAGAGUGGUGGAGUGGUGGAGUGGUGGAGUGUGGUGGUGGUGGAGUGGUGGAGUGGUGGAGUGG